AGCUCCAAUAGCGUAUAUUAAAGUUGUUGCAGUUAAAAAGCUCGUAGUUGGACUUUAGGCGAGGUGGCCUGGUCUGCCGUCAGGCAGUACUGGGUUCGCCGAGCCUCACCUUCGGGGAACUAGUGCCUCGUGCGCUAGGGAACCGAGCCUUACUUUGAGAAAAUUAGAGUGUUUAAAGCAGGCUUACGCUUGAAUACUUCAGCAUGGAAUAACAACAUAGGACUUUGGUUCUAUUUUGUUGGUUUGAGGACCAAAGUAAUGAUUAAUAGGGACAGUUGGGGGCAUUAGUAUUCAGUAGUCAGAGGUGAAAUUCUUGGAUUUACUGAGGACUAACUAAUGCGAAAGCAUUUGCCAAGGAUGUUUUCA
This 366-nucleotide ribosomal RNA is filed under the name uncultured eukaryote. RNAcentral's name for it is "SSU rRNA". It matches the Rfam family "Eukaryotic small subunit ribosomal RNA", at positions 587 to 972 of the family's 1831-position model. The record is from RNAcentral.